UGGCAGACUCGACUUCCUCAAAGGGGCUG
This 29-nucleotide non-coding RNA is filed under the name Rattus norvegicus (Norway rat). Lineage: Eukaryota; Metazoa; Chordata; Mammalia; Rodentia; Muridae. The record is from RNAcentral.